This 72-nucleotide transfer RNA is filed under the name Mus musculus (house mouse). Its description in RNAcentral is "tRNA-Thr". The record is from RNAcentral. Lineage: Eukaryota; Metazoa; Chordata; Mammalia; Rodentia; Muridae.
GGGGAUAUAGGUUAGUUGGUAAAGUGCUUACCUGGUAUGCAAGAGGCCUGGAUUCAAUCCCAAGGACCCCCU